This 297-nucleotide ribosomal RNA is filed under the name uncultured bacterium. RNAcentral describes it as "partial 16S ribosomal RNA". It matches the Rfam family "Bacterial small subunit ribosomal RNA", at positions 501 to 793 of the family's 1533-position model. The record is from RNAcentral.
CUCCGUGCCAGCAGCCGCGGUAAUACGGAGGGGUGCGAGCGUUAAUCGGAAUUACUGGGCGUAAAGCGCAUGCAGGCGGCCUGUUAAGUCAGAUGUGAAAGACCCGGGGCGUUAACCUCGGAAUUGCAUUUGAAACUGGCAGGCUAGAGUCUUGUAGAGGGGGGUAGGAAUUUCAGGUGUAGCGGUGAAAUGCGUAGAGAUCUGAAGGAAUACCAGUGGCGAAGGCGGCCCCCUGGACAAAGACUGACGCUCAGAUGCGAAAGCGUGGGGAGCAAACAGGAUUAGAUACCCUGGUAG